AGAUUGAACGCUGGCGGCAUGCCUAACACAUGCAAGUCGAACGGGAGUAGCAAUACUCUAGUGGCGGACGGGUGAGGAAUACGUAGGAAUUUGCCCUUAAGUGGGGGAUAACCCGGGGAAACCCGGAUUAAUACCGCAUGACCUCGAAAGAGCAAAGUGGGGGAUCGCAAGACCUCACGCUUUUGGAGAAGCCUACGUCGGAUUAGCUAGUUGGUGAGGUAAUGGCUCACCAAGGCGACGAUCCGUAACUGGUCUGAGAGGAUGAUCAGUCACACCGGAACUGAGACACGGUCCGGACUCCGUACGGGAGCAGCAGUGGGGAAUAUUGGACAAGUGGGCGCAAGCCUGAU
RNAcentral lists this ribosomal RNA (350 nucleotides) under uncultured soil bacterium. RNAcentral's name for it is "bacterial SSU rRNA". It matches the Rfam family "Bacterial small subunit ribosomal RNA", at positions 26 to 387 of the family's 1533-position model. The record is from RNAcentral.